GGGGAAUAUUGCACAAUGGGGGGAACCCUGAUGCAGCGACGCCGCGUGAGUGAAGAAGUAUUUCGGUAUGUAAAGCUCUGUCAGCAGGGAAGAAGAAAGACGGUACCUGACCAAGAAGCCCCGGCUAACUAC
RNAcentral lists this ribosomal RNA (132 nucleotides) under uncultured bacterium. RNAcentral's name for it is "partial 16S ribosomal RNA". It matches the Rfam family "Bacterial small subunit ribosomal RNA", at positions 356 to 504 of the family's 1533-position model. The record is from RNAcentral.